AGGACGAACGCUGGCGGCGUGCUUAACACAUGCAAGUCGAGCGGAAAGGCCCUUCGGGGUACUCGAGCGGCGAACGGGUGAGUAACACGUGAGCAAUCUGCCCCUAGCUCUGGGAUAGCUCCGGGAAACCGGGAUUAAUACCAGAUACAACCACUUUAGACAUCUUUUGUGGUGGAAAGGAUUCCGGCUAGGGAUGAGCUCGCGGCCUAUCAGCUUGUUGGUUGGGGUAACGGCCCACCAAGGCGACGACGGGUAGCCGGCCUGAGAGGGCGACCGGCCACACUGGGACUGAGACACGGCCCAGACUCCUACGGGAGGCAGCAGUGGGGAAUAUUGCGCAAUGGGCGAAAGCCUGACGCAGCGACGCCGCGUGGGGGAUGACGGCCUUAGGGUUGUAAAGCUCUUUCGCUCGGGACGAUAAUGACGGUACCGAGAUAAGAAGCCCCGGCUAACUUCGUGCCAGCAGCCGC
RNAcentral lists this ribosomal RNA (470 nucleotides) under uncultured bacterium. RNAcentral describes it as "SSU rRNA". It matches the Rfam family "Bacterial small subunit ribosomal RNA", at positions 26 to 518 of the family's 1533-position model. The record is from RNAcentral.